GAGUGUUUGGCAACAUGGGCAGUUCUAGGGUCAAAAUGAGCCAAACAACCGUCCGAAAUUUCCUUGCCUCCGUUGGAAAGUUGGAAUUGGAAGUGACCGUGAAAAAGGGAAUCUUUCCAUAAAUCAGUGUCAGCUUAUUGGAUUUGAAAUUGAGAAGAAGAGGAACCAGAAGGAGGAGCUGAAUGUUUAUAGUGCGCCAUUCGUUCAGGAAUGGAGAUUAGUCAAUUUGGAACAUGUGCGGCCAGUCAGCGGGGGCAAGAAAAUUAAUCCCCGCCUUUGGUCACACUUUUGGUGUUGUGCCAGGAGAGUCACCAGGGCACAUCAGCAAUUCCAUACAAAGAUCCUCAGAUCCGUCCACAGCUCCAUUUUGGCACAUAGCAGCCAUGAGAGGAUCAAUGAAUGACCACGUGGAACUUGAAAACGAACUCCGCCGGGUGACCAGUCUUUGAUCCACAUAUACCAUUGAAAAGAACCGCGCCUGAAUACUACCCUCGAUUGAGCUAGAUCUUGACUUGGAAUGCCUAAAACUAUCGGCAUUGGUCAUGGAUAAGUAACUAUGUGGAACGUUCCUCCCUGUUGACGUCCUCUUCUAUAGUGGGAUUAAGGGAGGGAAAAUGAUAGCCAAUAUAGAUAAUUCCAACUCAGCAAGGGGGAGGGAGGAUGGUGACUCGAUCCUGAUGAGGAGGUGGAUUCAUUGAUUAUGACCCUUGGUGCAUCCGGGACAAUGGAUCAGUUGAGAGAGGGAACAACGAACCAGGGACAUAGAGACAUGGACUCAAAGGCCAAAGCUUCGGGCCGCCAAGAGAUUUGAGAUGCGACAUGAGAUCCUAUUCAUAAGAAAUAGCGUGCCACCCGUUAUCGACUUCUAUCAUAGUAGGAGCAAACUUCUGUGUUCCCAACGAUUGACUCUGUCUUUGUGAAAGGUCAGGGUAAUCCAAAAAGCUCAGGUUGACCGGAGUCUAUUCAAAUGACCUUCUCUACCUUCUCUAUAUUAGUACUUGGAAGCAUUAUAUUGAUGCCACUGUUGAAUGCAAAAUUUAAAGACGAGCCAGAGGGUUAUUUUUGGAACUCGGUGUAUGAUAAGAUGUUCCAAACGUUUGGUAUUUUCAUGAGUUGCUAUCGAUUACCUGCAUUAGCAUUAUUCCACCAACUGAUAAUCUUUUUCGAAUUCAAAACACGACAGUGCUCUUUUUAUGCAUAUUCCUCAGACGAAGUGCAAUAUCGGCAAAAGUUUAGGUCUACACAAUCGUUGUGACUCGGCAAAACAUUCCAAGUGCUCGAUGGAUCUACAAUUGAUCCUCGAUUGCCGCCUUCGAGGACCUCUAUUUUACCAUUGGUAUUGAAUUGAUUGGAUUAUUGGCGGAUAAAUUCUCCAAUUUCCUGAUGGAAUACAUUACACAACUCAAUUCGAGACCAGGGUCGUCAGAAUGUAUCAAAUUUGCCAUAUUCCUACUUACUUUUAUUUAGAAUUAAACUCUGCUACAGAGAAGGUACCUUGUUGAGCGUGAAUGCCCAACCAAGAAUUCUAGAAACUUGGAGGAGGAUCUUUACCGAGUGGAGGGUUGCCAAUCUGAAAGACGACUGGGAACCCUCAGUGAAAAGCGUAUCGGAUUAGCCAGUCCUUUUGGACAAAAACAUGAUCCCCAAAGUGCUAAAAGCCUGCCAAAAUGGUGUCACUUUCUCCCGCUUAUCCCUAGCCUCCCAGUUAGUUCAGUGCAUUGGCCAACAUUUGCAAACAAAGGUGAUCAGAGGCACAUAAAACCACCAUUUAUUUGCUAUAUGAUCUAGAGCGACCCAAAAAGCGAAUGCAACUAGCUGUUCCGGUCUGCCGAUUUUGUCUUUCUCCAUGGCACCGUGGGUUUCGCAGUUGUCUUUUCAGUCUGAUGCCCUUAACGCUGAAUACCAGUCAUCUCACCCCAAUAUGUGACCCCUCGCCCAACACCCCGACACCCCAUCCUAUCUCCAAUCCGUUGUGCAGUGUGCACCCAUCAUGCAGUGUUCAGAGUGCAACCAACCACCAUUGUGUUCUUUCGCGUUGGAUAUUGGGCGAGAUGGCAUAGAACAAAACGCUAAGAGGCGGCCUGGAAGAGGCUAUAUUGAAACGAAUGUUUGGACUGGUUUGUUCUUUAAAAUCGCGAAUCGUCAUUCCAUGCCAUCGAUGCCAAACCCCAUUUGAUGUGAUUAAAUAGAAAACGUACUAUCGCUGAAAAUCUUUUAAAAAAAUUCGUUUUAU
Molecule: long non-coding RNA, 2233 nt
Organism: Tigriopus californicus
Lineage: Eukaryota; Metazoa; Arthropoda; Copepoda; Harpacticoida; Harpacticidae
Exons: 3
Source: RefSeq, a predicted model, not a curated record